This 106-nucleotide small nuclear RNA is filed under the name Jaculus jaculus (lesser Egyptian jerboa). RNAcentral describes it as "U1 spliceosomal RNA (ENSJJAG00000008730.1)". It matches the Rfam family "U1 spliceosomal RNA", at positions 1 to 111 of the family's 166-position model. From Rfam's summary of the family: U1 is a small nuclear RNA (snRNA) component of the spliceosome (involved in pre-mRNA splicing). Its 5' end forms complementary base pairs with the 5' splice junction, thus defining the 5' donor site of an intron. There are significant differences in sequence and secondary structure between metazoan and yeast U1 snRNAs, the latter being much longer (568 nucleotides as compared to 164 nucleotides in human). The record is from RNAcentral. Lineage: Eukaryota; Metazoa; Chordata; Mammalia; Rodentia; Dipodidae.
AUACUUACCUGGCAGGGGAGAUUCCAUGAUCAUGAAGGUGGUUUUCCCAGGGCGAGGCUUAUCCAGUCCAGAUGUGCUGACCCCAGCGAUUUCCCCAAAUGCGNNN